This 465-nucleotide ribosomal RNA is filed under the name uncultured bacterium. RNAcentral's name for it is "partial 16S ribosomal RNA". It matches the Rfam family "Bacterial small subunit ribosomal RNA", at positions 28 to 507 of the family's 1533-position model. The record is from RNAcentral.
GACGAACGCUGGCGGCGUGCUUAACACAUGCAAGUCGAACGGAAAGGCCCCGCUUGCAGGGUACUCGAGUGGCGAACGGGUGAGUAACACGUGGGUGAUCUGCCCUGCACUUCGGGAUAAGCCUGGGAAACUGGGUCUAAUACCGGAUAGGAGCCAUUUUUAGUGUGAUGGUUGGAAAGUUUUUUCGGUGUAGGAUGAGCUCGCGGCCUAUCAGCUUGUUGGUGGGGUAAUGGCCUACCAAGGCGGCGACGGGUAGCCGGCCUGAGAGGGUGGACGGCCACAUUGGGACUGAGAUACGGCCCAGACUCCUACGGGAGGCAGCAGUGGGGAAUAUUGCACAAUGGGCGCAAGCCUGAUGCAGCGACGCCGCGUGGGGGAUGACGGCCUUCGGGUUGUAAACUCCUUUCGCUAGGGACGAAGCUUUUUGUGACGGUACCUAGAUAAGAAGCACCGGCUAACUACGUG